GACGGAGGAUGCAAGCGUUAUCCGGAAUGAUUGGGCGUAAAGCGUCCGCAGGUGGCAGUUCAAGUCUGCUGUCAAAGACCGGGGCUUAACUUCGGAAAAGCAGUGGAAACUGAACAGCUAGAGUAUGGUAGGGGCAGAGGGAAUUCCUGGUGUAGCGGUGAAAUGCGUAGAUAUCAGGAGGAACACCGAUAGCGAAGGCAGCUCGCUGGGACGGUACUGACGCUGAGGUGCGAAAGCGUGGGGAGCGAACGGG
Molecule: ribosomal RNA, 253 nt
Filed under: uncultured bacterium
Lineage: Bacteria
Description: partial 16S ribosomal RNA
Rfam family: Bacterial small subunit ribosomal RNA
Source: RNAcentral